AUUGAACGCUGGCGGCAGGCCUAACACAUGCAAGUCGAGCGGAUGAAGGGAGCUUGCUCCUGGAUUCAGCGGCGGACGGGUGAGUAAUGCCUAGGAAUCUGCCUGGUAGUGGGGGAUAACGUCCGGAAGCGGGCGCUAAUACCGCAUACGUCCUGAGGGAGAAAGUGGGGGAUCUUCGGACCUCACGCUCUCAGAUGAGCCUAGGUCGGAUUAGCUAGUUGGUGGGGUAAAGGCCUACCAAGGCGACGAUCCGUAACUGGUCUGAGAGGAUGAUCAGUCACACUGGAACGGAGACACGGUCCAGACUCCUACGGGAGGCAGCAGUGGGGAAUAUUGGACAAUGGGCGAAAGCCUGAUCCAGCCAUGCCGCGUGUGUGAAGAAGGUCUUCGGAUUGUAAAGCACUUUAAGUUGGGAGGAAGGGCAGUAAGUUAAUACCUUGCUGUUUUGACGGUACCAACAGAAUAAGCACCGGCUAACUUCGUG
This 484-nucleotide ribosomal RNA is filed under the name uncultured bacterium. RNAcentral's name for it is "partial 16S ribosomal RNA". It matches the Rfam family "Bacterial small subunit ribosomal RNA", at positions 30 to 507 of the family's 1533-position model. The record is from RNAcentral.